AAGAGGGGCGGGGAUUCCGGCCAGUCGGCCAAUGGGAGGCGCUCAUACAACCUUCGGGCCAAUGGCGCCUCCGCUCUUAUCGCGAAGUCCCUUCCUUCAACGCCCUGUUUCCUCUCUCGGGUUUCCUACCUCCCCCGCCGAGGAGGGGGAAAGAGGAAAGGGGGAGUGUGGCGGGGCGGGUGAUAAUGGGGAGGUAUCAGGGCAUAUAAUAGAGCAGGGGGUGGGCGAAGAGAGCGCCAGUGCGUAGCGACGGUUCUGGGAGAGGAGGUGCUCAGAGGAAAGGGCGGGGGCUGCUGAUGUAAUGGGGAGAAGUGAUUAAUCCUUCGGUUCGCCGUUUCAGCCUUCCCCCCCCACCCCAACCUUCACCCGAUUUUUUAAGCCGAAAAAAAGUGGAGCGAGGGAGCCGAUCUUUGGUAACUCGGGUUUUUUUGUGGAAGGUCCCACAACUCAAAGGAAAAGAAAAAUCCCCAAGAUAAAGUAUCUUUUGUAUCUGUAUUUGGUCCUCUCGACAUAAUCUCUCCCCAAGGAAAACGCGUUUUUUCCCCCAGCUGCUGUUAUGAUGACUGAAAAUGUACUAUUUCUCAAUUCUCCCCCUCUCAUUUUUGUUUACCAUUUUUGGGAUGUGGUAAAAAUUGGCAAUUCACCUG
Molecule: non-coding RNA, 647 nt
Organism: Microcebus murinus (gray mouse lemur)
Lineage: Eukaryota; Metazoa; Chordata; Mammalia; Primates; Cheirogaleidae
Source: RefSeq, a predicted model, not a curated record